Molecule: small nuclear RNA, 186 nt
Filed under: Myotis davidii
Lineage: Eukaryota; Metazoa; Chordata; Mammalia; Chiroptera; Vespertilionidae
Description: 7SK RNA
Rfam family: 7SK RNA
About the family: 7SK was discovered as an abundant small nuclear RNA in the mid-70s but a possible function has only recently been suggested. Two independent studies have found that 7SK RNA binds the CDK9/cyclin T complex (known as elongation factor P-TEFb).
Source: Rfam by way of RNAcentral
GGAUGUCAGGGCAAUUGGCUAUAACAACAUCGAUUCUAUCGGCAGCACUGAUUUGUCUGAUUAGGAUGGCUAGGCAGGUGUGCCCUUCAUGCCUCAAUGCUACAUUUGUAGGAGAACAGGGUGGUCAAGCUUCCAAACUCCAGCAUAUCCAAAUGAGGUGCUGCCUAUGGCAGUCUGCCUUUAUUA